AUGACCCGAGUGAAGAGUAGCUACUACGUACUGCCUGGAGAAGAAGAACCAAACCGAACUAUGCACAAUACUCAUAGCAUUGGGACGGUAAUGUUUCUAACAGAUGUAGCCAAACCUCGCUACAAUGAAGAUGGGGAGAUGAUAUUUGAUGGGAAACUUGGCAUUUGGCCGUUCGUGGUACAGACCGAGGCAUGACGAACAAGCCAGAAUAGAGAUAGAGGGACAAUAGAGUUGAAGCCGGUCAAAGUUACUAGACCUGUGUGCAGAGAUUACUUGAUCAAUAAAGUAAUCCCUGCCAUUCAAGACAAAUGGCCGGACGGUGACGAUGACACAACGAUCUUUGUUCAACAAGAUAAUGCAACACCACAUGUCCUCCCUAAUGAUGCUGGUUUUCUAGAAGCCGUGGCACAGACAGAUCUGGAUAUUCGAUUAUUGCAACAACCACCAAACAGCCCUGAGCUCAAUGUUCUGGAUCUUUGUUUCCACUGCUCCCUCCAAUCCCUAACCGACUACAGAGCACCUAUGAAUAUACAGGAACUAGUACAGGGUGUAGAGGAGGAGUUUGAGAACUACGAUCCCCAUAAGCUAUUCAAAAGCUUUAUGACGUUGCAAUCAGUCAUGGUGGAAGUGAUGAAAGAUCAAGGAGGAAACAACUAUAAGCUGCCGCAUCUACACAAGGACCAUCUACAAAUGCUGGAGAGGAAAUAA
Molecule: ribosomal RNA, 708 nt
Filed under: Triticum aestivum (bread wheat)
Lineage: Eukaryota; Viridiplantae; Streptophyta; Magnoliopsida; Poales; Poaceae
Description: partial small subunit ribosomal RNA
Source: RNAcentral